Molecule: ribosomal RNA, 960 nt
Filed under: Umimayanthus parasiticus
Lineage: Eukaryota; Metazoa; Cnidaria; Anthozoa; Zoantharia; Parazoanthidae
Description: partial 28S ribosomal RNA
Rfam family: Eukaryotic large subunit ribosomal RNA
Source: RNAcentral
AUUUAAGCAUAUCAAUAAGCGGAGGAAAGAAACUAACAAGGAUUCCCCCAGUAACGGCGAGUGAAGCGGGAACAGCUCAAAUUUGAAAUCUCCGUUGCUUGCAACGGCGAAUUGUAGUUUCGAGAAGCACUUUCUAGGCGGAUCGGCCCUGUCUAAGUUGCUUGGAACAGCACGUCAGAGAGGGUGACAACCCCGUCCGUGACGGGGCCGGCCGCUCACGAUGUGUUUUCGAAGAGUCGGGUUGUUUGGGAAUGCAGCCCAAAAUGGGUGGUAAACUCCAUCUAAAGCUAAAUAUAGGCACGAGACCGAUAGCGAACAAGUACCGUGAGGGAAAGAUGAAAAGAACUUUGAAAAGAGAGUUAAAAAGUACGUGAAACCGUUGAAAGGGAAACGAAUGGAGUUAGCAAUGCACCCUGCAAGAUUCAGCCGGCGGGUGGCGCGGACGGGCGGUUGGCGGAUCCGAAUGGACCGCCGUCGUCCGGCUCGCGCUCCCCUCCGUCGCACUUCUUGCGGGUGCGCGUCAACGUCGGUUCGGACCCGGUCUGAAAGUGUGCGGGAAGGUAGGUCGCGUCGCCUCGGCGUCGCUUCUGUUACAGCCCGCGCUCGCAUGGCCGGGACCGGACCGAGGUGCCGCAGCGCAUGCCUCUUCUGGCUAGUGUCCCUCUGUGCCGGUCGGUUGUCGACUGUGGUGGACUGCGUGCAGUGCACCCGAACUGCUUCCGGUCGCCGCGGAGGUGACUUCGUACCAUGCGCUCAGGACGUUGGCGGUCAUAUGGCUUCAUCCGACCCGUCUUGAAACACGGACCAAGGAGUCUAGCCUGUGCGCGAGUCUUAGGGUGACCGAAACCCCCGGGCGCAAUGAAAGUGAAAGCGGCCUGUCCGCCGAGGUGAGAACCUUCCCUCCUGCGGGGGAGGCGCAUCAUUGACCGAUCUAUUCUACUCUUAGGAAGAUUUGAGUAA